UAGGGAAUCUUUCACAAUGGGCGAAAGCCUGAUGGAGCAACGCCGCGUGUGUGAUGAAGGGUUUCGGCUCGUAAAACACUGUUGUAAGAGAAGAAUGACAUUGAGAGUAACUGUUCAAUGUGUGACGGUAUCUUACCAGAAAGGAACGGCUAAAUACGUGCAG
RNAcentral lists this ribosomal RNA (163 nucleotides) under uncultured bacterium. Its description in RNAcentral is "partial 16S rRNA". It matches the Rfam family "Bacterial small subunit ribosomal RNA", at positions 355 to 510 of the family's 1533-position model. The record is from RNAcentral.